UUAUAAGGAUAACUACGGAAAAGCUGUAGCUAAUACUUGCUUAAGUACUUUUACUCCCCGGAGUAAUUGUAUGUAUUUGUUAAGACCCCUAAGAACAAAUGAUAUUAAAGGAAUUAUAACAAAGAAGCAACACAUAAGUAUAAUUAUUCAGUGUGUAUC
This 159-nucleotide ribosomal RNA is filed under the name Plasmodium sp. VVPE1. RNAcentral describes it as "partial 18S ribosomal RNA". Lineage: Eukaryota; Apicomplexa; Aconoidasida; Haemosporida; Plasmodiidae. The record is from RNAcentral.